RNAcentral lists this ribosomal RNA (274 nucleotides) under uncultured bacterium. RNAcentral describes it as "partial 16S ribosomal RNA". It matches the Rfam family "Bacterial small subunit ribosomal RNA", at positions 523 to 796 of the family's 1533-position model. The record is from RNAcentral.
AUACGGAGGGGGCUAGCGUUGUUCGGAAUUACUGGGUGUAAAGCGUACGUAGGCGGACUGAUCAGUUGGGGGUGAAAUCCCAGGGCUUAACCCUGGAACUGCCUUCAAUACUGUCAGUCUCGAGAUUGGAAGAGGUGAGUGGGAUUCCUAGUGUAGAGGUGAAAUUCAUAGAUAUUAGGAGGAACACCAGUGGCGAAGGCGGCUCACUGGUCCAAUACUGACGCUGAGGUACGAAAGCGUGGGGAGCAAACAGGAUUAGAAACCCUAGUAGUCC